GACGAACGCUGGCGGCGUGCUUAACACAUGCAAGUCGAGCGGUAAGGCCCUUUCGGGGUACGACGAGCGGCGAACGGGUAGGAGUAACAACGUGGGUGGACCUCGCCCUCCAGCUCUGGGAGUAAGACCUCGGGAAACCGGGGUACCGUAAUAACUGGAGUAUGACUCCAUGACGCAUGUUGUGGGGUGGGAAAGACCUUG
Molecule: ribosomal RNA, 201 nt
Filed under: uncultured bacterium
Lineage: Bacteria
Description: partial 16S ribosomal RNA
Source: RNAcentral